Molecule: long non-coding RNA, 185 nt
Filed under: Columba livia (rock pigeon)
Lineage: Eukaryota; Metazoa; Chordata; Aves; Columbiformes; Columbidae
Description: partial uncharacterized LOC102083501
Source: RNAcentral
CUGAAAGAUACAUGAAAGCGAAAUUCACUCUGACAGCUUACAGGACCUGCUGGCUGUUGCUGAAGCUCUGCAAGAAAGCCUAUGAGAAACGACUCUCUGCUUCAGAAAAGGAGUGCCAAGGAGGUGCUGUAAGAAGGACAGCUGGAGGAACAGAAAAGAGUACUUCUGAGAAAAGGCAGCUCCAC